RNAcentral lists this non-coding RNA (30 nucleotides) under Homo sapiens (human). The record is from RNAcentral. Lineage: Eukaryota; Metazoa; Chordata; Mammalia; Primates; Hominidae.
UNUCACAGCCAGAAGGACUCUAUGAAAGAA